This is a long non-coding RNA of Homo sapiens (human), 803 nucleotides long. NCBI's taxonomy places the organism in Eukaryota, Metazoa, Chordata, Mammalia, Primates, Hominidae. The record is from Ensembl.
AUUGCUGAUUUGGUCAAGAUGUAAACAUAUCGUAGAGCUCCAGCAUGGGGGCUCACGCCUGUAAUACAAACACUUUGGAAGGCCAAGGUGGGAGAAUCACUCAAGCCCAGGAGUUUAAGAUCAACCUGGGCAACAAAAAUUUCUCUCACUUUCUUACAGGGCUACCACAUAAAGAAUAUGACAUUAUUAAAUUCCCCUGCAGUUACACAGAGCAGUGGCUCUACAGUUUCUUGUUGGCUGAAUUAAGCAUUUAAAGAAAUGUUUAAGUAUUUAAUACAACAUCUUCAGGUAUUUGAACUAAGAGAGUUUCUUGGGAAAUGUGCUAUUUGAUAGAUUGAGAAGUCUCCCAGUGCUGUUUUGCUUUGUUUCAUCACUCACUAUUUAAAUGUUAAUUACAAAAAUAAUACAUACUCACUGGAAGAAAAAUCAAACAAACUCAAAGCACAGAAAAAUUUUAAAGCCUCCUUGCUCUUGGUGGCUUUCUUUCUCCCACCAAUUUUUGGUGACUUCAAUUUUUGUGUUAGACCAUUUAUGUUCAAAGCAUCCACAUGAAACUUACCCUCUAUAAGGUGCUGUGAGCACCACAGACUUGAAUACCAGUUCCCAUGCUCAAGAAGCCUUCAAUCUUGUUGAGGAGAUAGAUGAAAGAACUGGCUUACAACAGAGAAGUAGAUGUAUUAAAGAGUCAGUUUUCCCAGCACUCUGGGAGGCUGAGGCAGGUGGAUCACCUGAGGUCUGGAGUUCGAGACCAGCCUGACCAACAUGGAGAAACCCCAUCUCUACUAAAAAUACAAAAUUAGCCG